Molecule: non-coding RNA, 730 nt
Organism: Macaca mulatta (Rhesus monkey)
Lineage: Eukaryota; Metazoa; Chordata; Mammalia; Primates; Cercopithecidae
Source: RefSeq, a predicted model, not a curated record
CGGCCUCCCAAAGUGCUGGGAUUACAGGCGUGAGGCACCUUGCCUGGCCGAAACAAAAUUUUUGACGUCUCUUAAACUUUCACCAUGGAUUGUGCACUUGAACAAGGAUAUAAGAGUGUGUUUGAAUUCGAACCAAUCAAAAUAAGUUCAGCAUUUUCUCUUCUGUCCGGUUAUCUAUUUAUUACCUCUUAGCUGCAAAAUCACUUUUCCUUGCGCGGUAACAAUGGAAUGGAGGGGGGCCCUUUAAAUAUUUUCUUUCGCAGUUAGCUCAAUGUUACGUUUUGUCAAUAGAGGGCGAUGGAGAGACAUUGCUGGAGGAAACAAUCUCGCGUUAGUGUGCACAAUGGCCGGGCUCUCGCAGCCUGAGCAGUUUCUCUAGUAGGAACCUCCUGCAGUGCACGGUGGCCAGCAGUACUUUGGGGAACCUCCUUUAGAGCAUCUCUGGAUUGUACUGGUAAAGCCAUGUUCCAACCGCUGUGACAGUUGUUUGAAGAAACGCUUCAGGAUCCUGAUCCCACUUGUUUAAAUUUUCCAUUGAAUGCUAUCGUCUUGUUUACAACCAACCUGGAUGCAAUGGUUUGGAUACCCGUCAAGUGGAAUGUCUGCUCAACUUUAAUUCUUAAGUCAGAAUUGUGUAAGCUGAAUCAAUUGAGAUGUCUAUGAUGUUGGCUAUCAUUUCUGCUGUUAAUUGUCAUUCUUUUUCAAUUAGUGUAUAAACAAGAUGAAUUUA